UGAAGUCGGAAUCGCUAGUAAUCAUGAAUCAGAAUGUCACGGUGAAUACGUUCCCGGGCCUUGUACACACCGCCCGUCACACCAUGGGAGUGGGUUGCACCAGAAGUAGCUAGUCUAACCUUCGGGAGGACGGUUACCACGGUGUGAUUCAUGACUGGGGUGAAGUCGUAACAAGGUAGCCGUAGGGGAACCUGCGGCUGGAUCACCUCCUUAAUCGACGA
This 221-nucleotide ribosomal RNA is filed under the name Listeria monocytogenes. RNAcentral's name for it is "partial 16S ribosomal RNA". It matches the Rfam family "Bacterial small subunit ribosomal RNA", at positions 1321 to 1533 of the family's 1533-position model. The record is from RNAcentral. Lineage: Bacteria; Bacillati; Bacillota; Bacilli; Caryophanales; Listeriaceae.